CCUACGGGUGGCAGCAGUAGGGGAUAUUGCACAAUGGGGGAAACCCUGAUGCAGCGACGCCGCGUGGGCGAAGAAGUAUUUCGGAAUGUAAAGCCCUAUCAGCAGGGAAGAAGAAAUGACGGUACAUGAGAAAGAAGCACGGGCUAAAUACGUGACAGAAGCCGCGGUAAUACGGAGGGGGCAAGCGUUAUCCGGAUUUACUGGGUGUAAAGGGAGCGCAGGCGGCAGUGCAAGUCUGAUGUGAAAGCCCGCGGCUCAACCGCGGGACGGCAUUGGGAACGACCGGGCUGGAGUGCCGGAGAGGUAAGUGGAAUUCCUAGUGUAGCGGUGAAAUGCGUAGAUAUUAGGAGGAACACCAGUGGCGAAGGCGGCCUACUGGACUGUAACUGACGCUGAGGCUCGAAAGCGUGGGGAGCAAACAGGAUUAGAUACCCGUGUAGUC
Molecule: ribosomal RNA, 442 nt
Filed under: uncultured bacterium
Lineage: Bacteria
Description: partial 16S ribosomal RNA
Rfam family: Bacterial small subunit ribosomal RNA
Source: RNAcentral